UGGGGGAUAUUGCACAAUGGGCGAAAGCCUGAUGCAGCGACGCCGCGUGGGGGAUGAAGGCUUUCGGGUUGUAAACCUCUUUCGCUAUCGAACAAGGCCCGCUUAGGGUGGGUUGAGGGUAGGUGGAGAAGAAGCGCCGGCUAACUACGUGCCAGCAGCCGCGGUAAUACGUAGGGCGCGAGCGUUGUCCGGAAUUAUUGGGCGUAAAGGGCUUGUAGGCGGCUUGUUGCGCCUGCUGUGAAAACGCGGGGCUUAACUUCGGGCGCGCAGUGGGUACGGGCAGGCUUGAGUGUGGUAGGGGUGACUGGAAUUCCAGGUGUAGCGGUGGAAUGCGCAGAUAUCUGGAGGAACACCGAUGGCGAAGGCAGGUCACUGGGCCAUUACUGACGCUGAGGAGCGAAAGCAUGGGUAGCGAACAGG
Molecule: ribosomal RNA, 420 nt
Filed under: bacterium
Lineage: Bacteria
Description: partial 16S ribosomal RNA
Rfam family: Bacterial small subunit ribosomal RNA
Source: RNAcentral